This 495-nucleotide ribosomal RNA is filed under the name uncultured bacterium. RNAcentral describes it as "partial 16S ribosomal RNA". It matches the Rfam family "Bacterial small subunit ribosomal RNA", at positions 28 to 507 of the family's 1533-position model. The record is from RNAcentral.
GACGAACGCUGGCGGCGUGCCUAAUACAUGCAAGUAGAACGCUGAAGGAGGAGCUUGCUUCUCUGGAUGAGUUGCGAACGGGUGAGUAACGCGUAGGUAACCUGCCUGGUAGCGGGGGAUAACUAUUGGAAACGAUAGCUAAUACCGCAUAAGAGUAGAUGUUGCAUGACAUUUGCUUAAAAGGUGCAAUUGCAUCACUACCAGAUGGACCUGCGUUGUAUUAGCUAGUUGGUGGGGUAACGGCUCACCAAGGCGACGAUACAUAGCCGACCUGAGAGGGUGAUCGGCCACACUGGGACUGGGACACGGCCCAGACUCCUACGGGAGGCAGCAGUAGGGAAUCUUCGGCAAAGGACGGAAGUCUGACCGAGCAACGCCGCGUGAGUGAAGAAGGUUGUCGGAUCGUAAAGCUCUGUUGUAAGAGAAGAACGAGUGUGAGAGUGGAAAGUUCACACUGUGACGGUAUCUUACCAGAAAGGGACGGCUAACUACGUG